AUGACACGAGCGUGGAGGCACCAUUUUCAUGCAAUUUCUCAGAUUUCAGGGCAUCUCUUUAUGGCUCACUUUACUUCUCUUGAAUCCAUGAUGUUUGUAUACACACGCCAGCCAUGGACUAUGGGCUCUGACAAUAUUCUCUUAGAAUGGAUAGAUCCAAUGGAUGAAUCCAAAACUAAGGAGGAUUACAAGUUUGAGAAUAUAUAUGUGAAUGUUCGUGUUUAUGGAAUCCUUUCUACAAUUGGCAAGCCAUCUGAGUUCCAUCCUUUGCAAGAGAAUAUGCUGUUUGCAAGACCAGAUUAUAUUUGGGGUAAGGCCAAGAUUAAUAUAAAGGAUUCAGUGGUAGAUAAGAUCAACCUGACUUUGGAUGACAAUACUUCUAAGACGGUCUAUCUUCACUAUGAAAAGAUUGGCAGAAUAUGCCUUUUUUGUGGGAUUAUGUUUCAUACAGUGCAGCACUGUCCAAAAAGAAAUGAUAUUAUCAUGGCAAGGGUGAGAAACAAUAGAUCUGCAGAAGAUAUUCCGCUCUACAUGUAUGGGGAAUGGAUU
Molecule: ribosomal RNA, 549 nt
Filed under: Triticum aestivum (bread wheat)
Lineage: Eukaryota; Viridiplantae; Streptophyta; Magnoliopsida; Poales; Poaceae
Description: partial small subunit ribosomal RNA
Source: RNAcentral